CCUGCGGAAGGAUCAUUAUCGAGUUUUGAAACGGGUUGUCGCUGGUCCCUCUAACGUGGGGGACAUGUGCACGCCUGGCUCAUCCACUCUUCAACCCCUGUGCACCUGUCGUAGGCGCCCGGUCAGACGGGUCGACUUCAUUGUCGGCCUGGAAGCCUCGGCCUAUGUUUUCUUACAAACGCUUCAGUCGUAGAAUGUAAAACAUCGCGGAUAACGCAUUUUAAAUACAACUUUCAGCAACGGAUCUCUUGGCUCUCGCAUCGAUGAAGAACGCAGCGAAAUGCGAUAAGUAAUGUGAAUUGCAGAAUUCAGUGAAUCAUCGAAUCUUUGAACGCACCUUGCGCUCCUUGGUAUUCCGAGGAGCAUGCCUGUUUGAGUGUCAUGGAAUUCUCAACCUUCGAAAGCAUUUUUUAAAACUGUUUUCGGGGGCUUGGACUUGGAGGUCGUGUCGGCUUGCAAAGGUCGACUCCUCUGAAACGUAUCAGCGUGAACCUUUACGGAUCGCCUUCGGUGUGAUAUACGUCUACGCCGUGGUCGCGAAGUAUGAUCGUGUUCGUGCUUCCAAUCGUCUCUUCGCGAGACAGAACUUCUUUUGACAAUCUGACCUCAAAUCAGGUAGGACUACCCGCUGAACUUAAGCAUAUCA
This 646-nucleotide ribosomal RNA is filed under the name Merulius serialis. Its description in RNAcentral is "eukaryotic LSU rRNA". The stretch from base 229 to 382 matches the Rfam family "5.8S ribosomal RNA". The record is from RNAcentral. Lineage: Eukaryota; Fungi; Basidiomycota; Agaricomycetes; Polyporales; Meruliaceae.